RNAcentral lists this unclassified non-coding RNA (167 nucleotides) under uncultured fungus. RNAcentral's name for it is "sequence contains ITS1". Lineage: Eukaryota; Fungi. The record is from RNAcentral.
UUGAAAGCUUCGGCUUCUUUGAUGCCUUUGAACCCCAUCUGUUUACCUUUCCUCUGUUGCCUCCCGCCGGCGUGCGACCGCUUGCCGGCGGGAGGGGUUACCGAAACUACAUUCUGAUGUCAGUUACGUGCGAGUCUGAACCGAUCGGUAGAAUCGGAAAUGCUUCA